AUACGGAUGGUGCAAGCGUUACUCGGAAUUACUGGGCGUAAAGCGUCCGCAGGCUUCUUCCCAAGUCUGGUGUUAAAGUGCGGAGCUCAACUCCGUGACGUGCCGGAAACUAGGAGGAUAGAGUCAUACAGAGGCAACUGGAAUUACGUGUGUAGGGGUAAAAUCCGUUGAUCCACGUAGGAACGCCAAAAAGUGAAAACAGGUUGCUGGGUAUGUACUGACGCUCAGGGACGAAAGCGUGGGGAGCGAAGGGGAUUAGAUACCCCCGUAGUCCACGCCCUAAACGAUGCGUGCUCGGUGUCGGAAAUUCAAUCUAUUUCGGUGCCCAAGCUAACGCGGUAAGCACGCCGCCUGAGUAGUACGAUCGCAAGAUUAAAAACUCAAAAGGAAUUGACGGGGCCCGCACAAGCGGUGGAGCAUGUGGUUUAAUUCGAAGCAACGCGCAGAACCUUACCAACCCUUGACAUCCUCGGACCGCCAGAGAGAUCUGGUUUUCACUUCGGUGACCGAGUGACAGGUGCUGCAU
Molecule: ribosomal RNA, 526 nt
Filed under: uncultured bacterium
Lineage: Bacteria
Description: bacterial SSU rRNA
Rfam family: Bacterial small subunit ribosomal RNA
Source: RNAcentral